CCCGUCACAUCACGAAAAGUGGGCUGCACUAGAAGCCGGUGUGCUAACCGCAAGGGAGCAGCCGUCCAAGGUAUGGCUCAUGAUUGGGGUG
Molecule: ribosomal RNA, 91 nt
Filed under: uncultured bacterium
Lineage: Bacteria
Description: partial 16S ribosomal RNA
Source: RNAcentral